GCGGCGAACGGGUGAGUAACGCGUGGAUAACCUACCUCAAGGUCUGGGAUAACAGCUCGAAAGGGCUGCUAAUACCGGAUGUGGUGCAUAUGCUGCAUGGUAGAUGCACUAAAGGGGAAACCCGCCAUGAGAUGGGUCCGCGUCCCAUCAGCUAGUUGGUGGGGUAAAGGCCUACCAAGGCGACGACGGGUAGCCGGCCUGAGAGGGUGACCGGCCACACUGGGACUGAGACACGGCCCAGACUCCUACGGGGGGCAGCAGUGGGGAAUAUUGCACAAUGGGCGAAAGCCUGAUGCAGCGACGCCGCGUGGGCGAAGGAGGCCUUCGGGCUGUAAAGCCCUGUCUGGAGGGACGAAGUAAUGACGGUACCUCCGGAGGAAGCCACGGCUAACUACGUGCCAGCAGCCGCGGUAAUACGUAGGUGGCGAGCGUUGUCCGGAAUUACUGGGCGUAAAGGGCGUGCAGGCGGCCACUUAAGUCGGGCGUGAAAACCGCUG
This 497-nucleotide ribosomal RNA is filed under the name uncultured bacterium. RNAcentral describes it as "bacterial SSU rRNA". It matches the Rfam family "Bacterial small subunit ribosomal RNA", at positions 95 to 606 of the family's 1533-position model. The record is from RNAcentral.